This 756-nucleotide long non-coding RNA is filed under the name Rattus norvegicus (Norway rat). Its description in RNAcentral is "long non-coding RNA NONRATT029867". The record is from RNAcentral. Lineage: Eukaryota; Metazoa; Chordata; Mammalia; Rodentia; Muridae.
GCAAGAAUGAAGCUAAUUAGAACACUAUCAAGUCUAACAUUCUCUCUCAUCUCAUCAAAGCCACUCUGGGGAAAUCAUUUGUUGAGGAUUAUGUUGAAGAAUGAGACUGCCGGUUGGCUCUUGGCAGGGAGCAUGGUUCUAUUCCAAAGGUUCUGAUAAUUAUAGGAAAGCAUUUAAUGACAAUAUGAUAUUGUAUUUUCAAGAUUCUUGUUUAAGAAUGCAUGGGGAAUGCCUUAUUCUCAGCUUAGAUUCUCAUUUUUAUUCUCCUGCUCCAAAGAAAUAUACAGAUGAAUCCUCUCCCAGCUUCCACUGGAUGCUCACUGGAUCAUCUGUGGGUACCUGUUUUUUCUUGAAGGGACUUCCUAACUUCAUAAAAAAUGUUGACGGCCAAGACCAGGAAACCCACUCUUCAUACCCCUCAGUAAGAGUCAGAGUCUGGGUCGACUCCUCUAUCUCCUGCAUAAGAUACGUGUCGGCCCGGGACCUCGGUGUCAGCCUGAGAUCUCGUUAAUAAAGCUGCCUCUUGUUGUUACAUCAAGAUCGGCUUCUCGUGUUCCUGGGGCACGCCAUUCAUCCCAAGACCGGAGCAAGAGUCUCCCCUAUUUGGGGUUCUCUCAUUUGUUCUUUCAUAUGAGGGCUCGUCCAGGAUCUGGCAUAGCCCCCGGAGACCCAAAGGCCCCUUGGAGGCUAAAAGACCUACAGGUGAUACGGAAAGAAGUCUGGUCACAGCUGGCAGCAGCCUAUACCCCAGGGACC